This is a long non-coding RNA of Cebus imitator (Panamanian white-faced capuchin), 543 nucleotides long. RefSeq lists it as uncharacterized. The record is from RefSeq and is a predicted model, not a curated record. NCBI's taxonomy places the organism in Eukaryota, Metazoa, Chordata, Mammalia, Primates, Cebidae. The transcript is spliced from 3 exons.
GGCCGGGGCGGCAGGCCCAGGAGAAGCAGCAGCUGCAGGGAGACCAGGACGCCCAGCGACGGCGGGAAGGAGGCCCCACGGCCACAGUCUGAGCAGCCGGCCAGCCUCACACUGGCUGCACAGCGGCUUCUCGGCCACCACGAAGAGAAGGCUGGGUGAUGCCUACGUGUUGAGAUCCUGGUCCCUCCACACACGCUCUACUAGCUGCUGCGUGAUGCCGGUGUCCAAGAUCAGGUUGUGCAGAAGGAAGUUGUUGCCUGGAACAGGAGGGUAGGGCUGCAGGGGGCGUCUUCCUGUAGCUCCCUGUCUACCCUCACCCCUACCCUCAAGGCUCCACCAGGAGUCUCCCCCAUGACCUGGCCCGGGCCCAGCCUUUGGCUUGGGCCUGCUUAUUUCCACACCUGCCCGGUCUCUGGGUUCCUUUGGGCUGACCCCAUGCUGCCUGGGCACUGCCCACAUCCAGCUGCCCUGUCAGGCACUCACACUGCUUGGAGUCUGGAGUCACUUUCUCCAUGAGCUCAAUAAAGUUUUUCAGGAACUCGG